This 2401-nucleotide long non-coding RNA is filed under the name Linum usitatissimum (flax). Its description in RNAcentral is "long non-coding RNA (LUSI_LNC007527)". Lineage: Eukaryota; Viridiplantae; Streptophyta; Magnoliopsida; Malpighiales; Linaceae. The record is from RNAcentral.
AAGUAAGAAAAAUAAUAAUAAAUUAGACGAUUAGAAAUCGAAUGGGAGUCCGACUCUAAAGCCAGGGAUAUUGCCUCAUGAAUCCAAUUCAAAAGAUAAUCUGAAUCCGUAAAUUUCAACUUGAUAUAAUAGUCAGUCAAGAUUAAUCAGAGACAAUAUUUUAGCGAUAAGGCAUACACAAAAGAAGCCGACUUUGUUAUUUGUCCAAAGGAAGACAAAAUGAAAAUAGAUUAAACAUAAACGGUAUGAUAUAUCUAUAAUAAAUAUUUUUUGUUAGUACGAUUUGUUUUUACUUUUUAUUGUCCGUUUUUACUAAUGAUAUCCCGUGUUUUUUACUAGUAUAAUGUUUCAAACCAUUAUAUAUAAAAUCAUGGUCUAAUCAUAAUUCAAUUAUUACAAUUUAUAACUAUUUAAACAAUUACCUGGAUCAACACGACUAGAUGGGUCGUCCCAAUACACACCGCCCUCCAAGUAGGGAACACAAAGAUGAGGGUUCAUCUUGGUGAGAAUGUCUUCUUCUUCAUCUUCAUCGCGAAACAGGAUGCAGUAAGAGAGAGCAUUCAGCCAAGUGGUUCCGGUUUUCGGGUUAGAAGCCAAGAUCACGACGUUGUCUUCACGUUUGGGCUUGAAGUUUGCCCUGAAAGCGUUUAUCGAACCCAGAAGAGUGGCACUGUACCAGAAUCCUUCGGUACCAGAAACCAAACAAGAGAUGGAAUUCCAGAUUGAACAGAUGACCGACCUACAAUAAAAUAAGACGAAAAUAUAAUUCCAUAUUCCAUUCUCUAAGACGAACUAAAGGGAUGUCUCUAAGCAGCCAAGGCCGGAGUGGAGCGCAUAAGCCCCUUUAGAGAUAGAGAUAGGGGGGACUACUACACGAGCUCAUAAGUAAAGUACGGAAAGAGCCUUGUCUACGAAGCGGAGCGACCUCGUCUUGCUUGCUUCUGGCGAAGCUUAACUACCUGAGUUUGGUCGAUGCCCCAACUGGCUUCUUCCUUUGUAGAAGCACUCAUGAUGAUGAUGGUGAUGAUGUUUUUGUUAAAGUGGAAAUGGUUUGAGUUGUGGGUUGUGUUGUAUGUGGUUCUACAUUAUUGAAGGGUAUUUAUGGGAAAACAUUGCAUCAAUUAUUUGCCAAAUUCUUGCAGUUAUGGUUGUGGCACCUAUCAAUUCUUGUGGACAGCAAUGAGCUAGAAAAUUGAUGAAAAUAUCUUCUUAUCUGUAGCAACAACAAAAAUCUAACUUGCGUAUUAGAAAAAAUCUAGCUGGAAAGUGAAUCCCAUUAUAGUUAAAAUUCACAUCUCGCAAAUCACGACGAAAUUUCAUACUUUUAAAUGGAAUGUAAUACACUUUCUUUUGUCCAAAAGAGCAUGUAAGUUUUGUUCAAUAUGUGUCACCAAUUUGUAGUUUAAACCACUCAUUGUUUCAUCCGAUUUUGAAGAUUGUUCUGAUAUAUUUCAUCUUUAUAAUUGAAAACCCUGACCGGCCGGGUUCUCGGUUAGUGAAUCUCGUCGUAAACAAUACAUCAUAUCCACAACAACUACGAUCAAAUCGCCUCGUCCUGAUCGAGAUAAAGCCCGGUACCUCGAAAUUUCUCCCGAGUACUAUCGUCGAUCCGUUUAGCUAUCUCGGGCGUCAAAUGAUUCCGCCAGUCUCCAACUUCACCGCGACGAAAGAAGAGGUUGUUCGUCAGAAGCGGAGCCACCUCCGGGUACGACUUGCCGUUUUUAUUCACGUCCAAAUCCUUAAGCCGGUCGAAGCUACUUCUCCAUAUGACCUUCUCAACUUCUCCAUCAUCAUCACGAAAUGGCUUUCCUAAAACCGAUGCCAGCUUCCGCACGUGCGGUUUGGGAUCACGACGAAGGUCCUCGUACUUGACGAACAUCACUUUGUCGGGGGAUCUUUGGCUUGCUUCCCAGUACUCCAACACAUGCUCCCAGUACGGACCUGAAGGGAUCCUGCCGCUGCAAAAGAUCUCGGCAGCUCGCUCCAGUGAUAAAGGGCCGAGAUUGUGUCGGUAUACUUUGUUGAAGAAAUGCCACUGGGAUACCAACGUGUCCUUUGGGUCUCGUGUGAUGUAGACCAAUUUGCAGUCUUUUUUGACGGAAUCCGGAAGGUAGCUGUAAGGCAUGUGAGUAUUGAAUAGCCGGCCUAAAACAAAUAAUUUAAAAUAAACGAAAUAACAAAUAUCAAAAUGAUGACAUAUAUAAUAAUUUUUCAUCCAGAAAUGGUCAAACUCGACGGUUGGAUUGGUCUAAUUAAGAACAUAAUACAUACCUCGAUCAACACGACUUGAUGGGUGGUCGUCCAAAUACACGCCAGCCUCCAAAGAGGGAACACACAGAUGAGGGUUCAUUUUUGUGAGAAGGUCUUCUUCUUCAUCUUCAUCACGAAACAGGAUGCAGUA